RNAcentral lists this ribosomal RNA (452 nucleotides) under Armadillidium nasatum. Its description in RNAcentral is "partial 16S ribosomal RNA". It matches the Rfam family "Bacterial large subunit ribosomal RNA", at positions 1810 to 2603 of the family's 2925-position model. Lineage: Eukaryota; Metazoa; Arthropoda; Malacostraca; Isopoda; Armadillidiidae. The record is from RNAcentral.
AAAACAUCUCCUAAGUUUAAUAUUUUAGGUAGAGCCUGCUCACUGAUUUUAAAAGCCGCAGUAUACUGACUGUGCUAAGGUAGCAUAAUAAUUAGCUAUUUAAUUUGUAGCUGGAAUGAAUGGUCUGACAAGAUAAUAACUUUCUUAUUUCUGAAUUAAAUUAAUUAAAGAAUAAAAAAGUUCUUAUUUUAUAGAAAGACGAUAAGACCCUAAAACCUUAUAUGUGUAUUAUAUUUACUGGGGCGGUAGUUUUUAAUCCAAAAAUUUCACUAACAUUAUGAAUGAUUCUGAGUACUCGUAUAAUUCAAAAAGGUACUUUAGGGAUAACAGCAUAAUUUUUAUUUAGAGUCCUUAUCGACAUAAAAGAUUAUGACCUCGAUGUUGAAUUGAUUUAACUCUUUGGGGCAGAUUCUUAAGUAGUAGGUCUGUUCGACCUUCGAAUAAUCACGUGA